GUGAAUCAUCAAAUCUUUGAACGCAAAUUGCACUCCCUGGUAUUCCGGGGAGUAUGCCUGUUUGAGGGUCGUUAGAAUAAAAAAUCGAUGCGUCGCUCUUUUUUUUUAAGGGUGAUCGCGUUGGAAUUGAGCCUUCUUUCAAUUUUUAAUUCAUGUCAAAGUGGCUUGAAUUUCAUCCAUCCGGUCCGAUUGAACCGUAUUUAAGAUCAAUUUUGUUUGAGACCCCGCGUUGACUUCCCA
This 240-nucleotide unclassified non-coding RNA is filed under the name Glomeraceae sp. RNAcentral's name for it is "partial contains 5.8S ribosomal RNA and internal transcribed spacer 2". The stretch from base 1 to 71 matches the Rfam family "5.8S ribosomal RNA", at positions 84 to 154 of the family's 154-position model. Lineage: Eukaryota; Fungi; Glomeromycota; Glomeromycetes; Glomerales; Glomeraceae. The record is from RNAcentral.